UUUUAAGAUUUUUUUGAACCUUGCUUUUACAUAUCCUAGAAUAAAUAGCAUUGAUAGAAAAAAAGAAUGGAAAGACCAGAGAUUACUAGGGGAAUUUUUUUUCUUUAUUAACAGAUAAGAAUUCUGACUUUUCUUUUUUUCCAUUUGUGUAUUAGGUGGUUGUGAAUGCCCUUUUAGGAGCAAUUCCAUCCAUCAUGAAUGUGCUUCUGGUUUGUCUUAUAUUCUGGCUAAUUUUCAGCAUCAUGGGCGUAAAUUUGUUUGCUGGCAAAUUCUACCACUGUAUUAACACCACAACUGGUGACAGGUUUGACAUCGAAGACGUGAAUAAUCAUACUGAUUGCCUAAAACUAAUAGAAAGAAAUGAGACUGCUCGAUGGAAAAAUGUGAAAGUAAACUUUGAUAAUGUAGGAUUUGGGUAUCUCUCUUUGCUUCAAGUUGCCACAUUCAAAGGAUGGAUGGAUAUAAUGUAUGCAGCAGUUGAUUCCAGAAAUGUGGAACUCCAGCCUAAGUAUGAAGAAAGUCUGUACAUGUAUCUUUACUUU
Molecule: small RNA, 542 nt
Filed under: Pan troglodytes (chimpanzee)
Lineage: Eukaryota; Metazoa; Chordata; Mammalia; Primates; Hominidae
Description: retained intron
Source: RNAcentral